UCACGAGCAAGCAUGCGAUACCGAGCGGGCUGGUUCAGACUUGCUUAAACGCGUAGUAUGGGUCGACGCGUGCGCCUCUUUGUCGAGCAAUUGACAGCUUCCAGUGGUCGGACGUGCGGAGCGGGAAAGAUGUAAUGCAAAGUGCGCCAACGCUUAGUGAAAAAUUUUAUUAUGGGAGCCUGCUGGUGUCGUGUGACACCUUCGAGUGUUGGCUGACAAUACAUCAUGACUGUGCUGUCGAUACGGUGACUCCUUAGCCUCUCUGUUUCGUUGCUCAGACGUAGCCCUGGGACGCGACUGUCCUAAUUACGAGACUUCAUCGACUGGCCUUGGACUGCCUGUUGGGGGUGAGUUUACAGGCCAUUGCAGCAGUACGAACCUUGAUUACGGUCGACGGUACAUGAUUUCCUGCUUCGAAAGUCGGUCUAUCAAGUGACAAACGUUUGCGAACAAACAGUUGUCCGAUGUCGUCUGCGUACACAAUGUGAUACAGUGCCUUCUACUAUAGCCUCCAACAUGCGCAACGCUAAACACCUCACACCGCUGCAGUACUGAUAAACGAUCUGGCACAGUCUGCGCAGCCGCCGAGGGUAGUCGACUGAUUAGUGUCUCGGAUUCAUUAAUGUCUUUCCAGGGAAUGAACGCUGCCAAAGAAAAACAGCCGACAGCAUGCUGUGGCUCACGUUCAGAAAGAACUACAAUGCAUGCCCACCUCGCCCGAACGGGGUGCCGGCUACUUUGUGUUGUUAUGUUUCCUUCCCCCGGCAAAAAGUUCGUGUUUUCCGUCACCGUUGCUGACACUAGCUGGCCAAUGUCACUUCUGAGUGAGGGCUGUGCGUAUCCGAACUGAGAUUAUGGUGAACUAUGUAUUUCCUGGAUGCAUCAGACACCUACCGUCAGACAAGCUGCCACAUUGGCUUCAGCAUGUAAUUUGAACGAGAUAACGAAUGAUUGGUAG
This 958-nucleotide long non-coding RNA is filed under the name Toxoplasma gondii VEG. Lineage: Eukaryota; Apicomplexa; Conoidasida; Eucoccidiorida; Sarcocystidae. The record is from RNAcentral.